UAACUUUAUAGUUAUUUUUAUUUUUUUAAUAAUAUAUGAACUUGUUCAUAAAUUUAUUUAACGAAUUGGUUCACCAAUUUAUUUAAACAAUAUUACUCACGAGCCUAUUUAACGAGCCUGCUCGUGAGCCUUCUCAACGAGCCUGCUCGCGAGCCUUCUCAACGAGCCUGCUCGCGAUCCUUCUCAACGAGCCUGCUCGCGAGCCUUCUCAACGAGCCUGCUCGCGAGCCUUCUCAACAAUAUUACUCACGAGCCUAUUUAACGAGCCUGCUCGUGAGCCUUCUCAACGAGCCUGCUCGCGAGCCUUCUCAACGAGCCUGCUCGCGAGCCUUCUCAACGAGCCUGCUCGCGAGCCUUCUCAACGAGCCUGCUCGCGAGCCUUCUCAACGAGCCUGCUCGCGAGCCUAAAAACGAGCCAGCUCGCGAGCCUUAACGAGCCGAAUACUAUGGAGCUCAAGCUUAGCUCGUUUAAGUGACGAGCCUCAAAAUUGAGCUCGAACUUGGCUCGUUUAAAAAACGAGCCGAACUCGGUCGAGCUUUUAUCGAGUCGAGUCUCGAGUAGCUCACGAAUAGCUUGGCUCAUUUACAGCCCUAGGUA
This 598-nucleotide long non-coding RNA is filed under the name Manihot esculenta (cassava). RNAcentral's name for it is "long non-coding RNA (MESC_LNC002103)". Lineage: Eukaryota; Viridiplantae; Streptophyta; Magnoliopsida; Malpighiales; Euphorbiaceae. The record is from RNAcentral.